UGGGGAAUAUUGCACAAUGGGCGCAAGCCUGAUGCAGCCAUGCCGCGUGUAUGAAGAAGGCCUUCGGGUUGUAAAGUACUUUCAGCGGGGAUGAAGGGAGUAAAGUUAAUACCUUUGCUCAUUGACGUUACCCGCAGAAGAAGCACCGGCUAACUCCGUGCCAGCAGCCGCGGUAAUACGGAGGGUGCAAGCGUUAAUCGGAAUUACUGGGCGUAAAGCGCACGCAGGCGGUUUGUUAAGUCAGAUGUGAGAUCCCCGGGCUCAACCUGGGAACUGCAUCUGAUACUGGCAAGCUUGAGUCUCGUAGAGGGGGGUAGAAUUCCAGGUGUAGCGGUGAAAUGCGUAGAGAUCUGGAGGAAUACCGGUGGCGAAGGCGGCCCCCUGGACGAAGACUGACGCUCAGGUGCGAAAGCGUGGGGAGCAAACA
RNAcentral lists this ribosomal RNA (427 nucleotides) under uncultured bacterium. RNAcentral's name for it is "partial 16S ribosomal RNA". It matches the Rfam family "Bacterial small subunit ribosomal RNA", at positions 355 to 774 of the family's 1533-position model. The record is from RNAcentral.